UACGUUGAAUUUGUUCGAUUGUUAAAAAUAAUAAUGUAAUUCACAAUAAAAGAAUAACAAAUCUUUAAAUUUUACAAUAUACGUGAUAGAGAAUGAAAGAAAACCUAAUUAAUUUAAAUCUUUAAGUUGAAUUUGUUCGGUUGUUGGAAAAAAAAAUGUAAUUAACAAAAAAAGAAUGAAAAAAUCUUUAAAUUUUACAAUAUACAUGACAAAGAAGGAAAGAAAACCUAAUUAGUUAUUCAACUUAAAAUCGCAAAAUUACAUUUGAUUCUGAUAUGUGUUAAGAUUCCUGGCCUCUUAUUGUGUCCUUGAAGUGAUUAUGAAUCUCAUAAAUAUGCAUAGGUGUUCUUGUAUUUUUUAGACACUGAGCUUUAUUAUGUUCAAUGUAGAGAAGGUUAGAUAGGCGUCUUUGCAUGCCUUAGUCUCUGUGUGAGAACAUCAGUGGAACCAACUAUUUUGCAAGGUUCACAGGACUAAUCUUUUUGUUUAUACUUGUGUAAUUAAAUCCCUUUUCAAUUUUUUUCUUAAGAUACGUGGGGCUUGACUCCCAGAUACCUUGCUAUGAAAUCAAUCCAAGGCUGAUAUCAAGUGAGGGCACCUUAAACUUAUUUUGAUACUGCCUCAUCUGAGCAAUUAUAGUUUAUUAACUUUUCUAUAUUGUUGUUUAUACUUCACCCGUAACUAAAUUGUGAAGAAUUGCAGGGAGCAUAUGGUGAAGAUUAUCUAGUCAAGUACAGAAGUUGCUGCAAAAACUAUUCGGUCUUCCAUUGCAUCAGAUCCAAGAGUGAGGUGUUCUUUCAUGAAGUAAUUGGGUUUGCGGCAUACAUUGUGCCACCCUAAUAUAGUGCAGUUCCUUGGUGUCCUAAAGCAUUCUGAGCGCUUGAUCUUUCUCACAGAGUAUUUUCACAAUCUGGGUUUUGCAUUUUUAAUUUAAAAAAGAGGAAGAAUAGAUCCGCCAACAGCAGUUUCGUAUGCAAGGCAACUUUUCCCAACAUUUUUUAUCCUGAAGUUUAUUGCAAGGAGGGCAACUCAAGGUAGAAGACUUUGGAUUAAGCAAAAUUGCGCAAGCAAAAGAUUCAUAUGGUUACAAAAUGACUGGAGAAACAAGUUCAUGUAAAUAUUCUUAGUUCAUCGUAAGUUUAUACAAUUAUUUAAUUUAACUAGUCAAUUAGAACUGUAAAACGUGUGCCAAAUCAUUAAAUAACACCUGAGGUUUAUCAUUGAGAAUCAUAUGGGAAUAGUGUUGAUAUCUUCUCCUUUGUAGUAAUUGUCUAUGAUGUAAUUUAUCUGUUGGAAAAUUAUUUGUAAUAUCAAGCCCAAUGUUCCAACUAGUCAAGCAGAUAACUUAUCUAGCCUAGCUAGUUUCUCAUUAUGCACGGCAGAUAGCAGACAGGCGAGCUCAUGAAGAUUCCAGACCACAUCUAUCAACUUUAUACCCAGAGCCAGUCAAGGCGUCAGUUCUCUGAGAUGACUCAUCUCAAACUGUUAACAAUCUUUAACAUACUCAGUUAUUGCAUAUGGCAUAGCAGUUUUCAGCCUCAUAAGAUGGAGCAAAAAAUUGUGAAAGAAAUGCGGAGCCCAGCUGAGUUGGUACUUAUAGUAUUUGGGACACCAAUUAUAUAAUGUGGGUUUGAGAGACAGUUAGGAAUAAUACAAGAUGAAGCUGAUUAAUGAUAUAGAAUUUAAUUGUCAUGCUGGAUACUUUGUUAAUAACUUUCAUUAGAACUUGUCUGUAACAUGAUUAAAUAUUGUUCUAUACUGCUAUCGUUUGAAUUAGGCUUCUUCGGGAUUGGUGGCACAAGAAUCCAAAUUGUUGACCAACAUUUGAAGAAAUAAUCUCAUGGCUUGAGAUUAUCCAAGAUAUUUUGGAAAAGAAGAAAUCCGGUUCAUUGUGCUGUAGUUGCCCCAUCUUUUAAGAAUUGAAGUGAACAAUAAUAUCUCAAAGAGGAUCAAUUAAAAGUUUGUAUAAAAAGAUUAAUCACAAUAUCUCGAAGAAGAUCAAUCAUAGGAAGAUCGAUGAUCACACCUUGACAUCCAAUCUACUUUUUGUAGCUAGUUGAGUUUGGGCUGUUCUUUUUAAGAUGAUUCUUUGCAUUUGUUUAAUUGCUGUAUUCAAGACAUGGACGGUUUGACAACAGUAUUUCCCAGUACACUUAUUCAUGGCUUCCCUUAUUUGUUUA
Mangifera indica (mango) is the source of this 2180-nucleotide long non-coding RNA. RefSeq lists it as uncharacterized. The record is from RefSeq and is a predicted model, not a curated record. Lineage: Eukaryota; Viridiplantae; Streptophyta; Magnoliopsida; Sapindales; Anacardiaceae. The transcript is spliced from 4 exons.